CAAAGUGCAGUUUUUCACGCUGACUUUCAUUGUUAACAGUCUUUCUGAAAUGUUUAUGUGUUGCUGACCCGCCGACAAUCUACUAACUGUAAGUUCAGACAUUACCCAAGCGGCUUAAGAAUCUCUAUUGUAUUAUCAUACGUGCAAGCAAAAGAAUCUGCUUCCCAUUCUGUUAAGAUGCCAGAAAUUAGUUAUCGCUUGCAUCAUAUCAAUUUUAUCGUUAAAAUACUUUGGUUCGCGGGCUUAUAUCACACGACUAUACGUAAAGUAAUCGUGAUGAAGGAAAAUAAUACAAAUCAAGUCCAACUGCGUGAUGAAG
Molecule: long non-coding RNA, 319 nt
Organism: Linepithema humile (Argentine ant)
Lineage: Eukaryota; Metazoa; Arthropoda; Insecta; Hymenoptera; Formicidae
Source: RefSeq, a predicted model, not a curated record